CAGGCCUAACACAUGCAAGUCGAACGGUAACAGGAAGCAGCUUGCUGCUUCGCUGACGAGUGGCGGACGGGUGAGUAAUGUCUGGGAAACUGCCUGAUGGAGGGGGAUAACUACUGGAAACGGUAGCUAAUACCGCAUAACGUCGCAAGACCAAAGAGGGGGACCUUCGGGCCUCUUGCCAUCAGAUGUGCCCAGAUGGGAUUAGCUAGUAGGUGGGGUAACGGCUCACCUAGGCGACGAUCCCUAGCUGGUCUGAGAGGAUGACCAGCCACACUGGAACUGAGACACGGUCCAGACUCCUACGGGAGGCAGCAGUGGGGAAUAUUGCACAAUGGGCGCAAGCCUGAUGCAGCCAUGCCGCGUGUAUGAAGAAGGCCUUCGGGUUGUAAAGUACUUUCAGCGGGGAGGAAGGGAGUGAGGUUAAUAACCUCAUUCAUUGACGUUACCCGCAGAAGAAGCACCGGCUAACUCCGUGCCAGCAGCCGCGGUAAU
This 492-nucleotide ribosomal RNA is filed under the name uncultured bacterium. RNAcentral describes it as "bacterial SSU rRNA". It matches the Rfam family "Bacterial small subunit ribosomal RNA", at positions 43 to 524 of the family's 1533-position model. The record is from RNAcentral.